CCUACGGGUGGCUGCAGUGGGGAAUAUUGGACAAUGGGCGAAAGCCUGAUCCAGCCAUGCCGCGUGUGUGAAGAAGGCCUUCGGGUUGUAAAGCACUUUUAGUGGGGAAGAAAGCCUUGGGGCUAAUACCCUCGAGGAAGGACAUCACCCACAGAAGAAGCACCGGCUAACUCCGUGCCAGCAGCCGCGGUAAUACGGAGGGUGCGAGCGUUAAUCGGAAUUACUGGGCGUAAAGCGCGCGUAGGCGGUCUGAUAAGCCGGUUGUGAAAGCCCCGGGCUCAACCUGGGAACGGCAUCCGGAACUGUCAGGCUAGAGUGCAGGAGAGGAAGGUAGAAUUCCCGGUGUAGCGGUGAAAUGCGUAGAGAUCGGGAGGAAUACCAGUGGCGAAGGCGGCCUUCUGGACUGACACUGACGCUGAGGUGCGAAAGCGUGGGUAGCAAACAGGAUUAGAUACCCCGGUAGUC
RNAcentral lists this ribosomal RNA (465 nucleotides) under Vreelandella stevensii. Its description in RNAcentral is "partial 16S ribosomal RNA". It matches the Rfam family "Bacterial small subunit ribosomal RNA", at positions 338 to 795 of the family's 1533-position model. Lineage: Bacteria; Pseudomonadati; Pseudomonadota; Gammaproteobacteria; Oceanospirillales; Halomonadaceae. The record is from RNAcentral.